Molecule: unclassified non-coding RNA, 246 nt
Filed under: Paraphoma chrysanthemicola
Lineage: Eukaryota; Fungi; Ascomycota; Dothideomycetes; Pleosporales; Phaeosphaeriaceae
Description: partial internal transcribed spacer region
Rfam family: Eukaryotic small subunit ribosomal RNA (bases 1-46)
Source: RNAcentral
AAGUCGUAACAAGGUUUCCGUAGGUGAACCUGCGGAAGGAUCAUUACCUUUCAAUGCAGCAGAAUUGGGAUGGUUGAGUAUCUCGCCUCUCAGUUCUGCCUGUAUUCUACCCUUGUUUGUCAUAUACUAUUAUUUCCUCGGCAGGCUUGUCUGCCGAGUGAAACCAUUUAUAACCUUUUUAAUUUUCAAUCAGCGUCUGAAAAAAUUUAAUAAUUACAACUUUCAACAACGGAUCUCUUGGUUCUG